RNAcentral lists this ribosomal RNA (418 nucleotides) under uncultured bacterium. RNAcentral describes it as "bacterial SSU rRNA". It matches the Rfam family "Bacterial small subunit ribosomal RNA", at positions 28 to 444 of the family's 1533-position model. The record is from RNAcentral.
GAUGAACGCUGACAGAAUGCUUAACACAUGCAAGUCGAUUCGAUUUACCUUCGGGUAUUGAGGAUGGCGGACGGGUGAGUAACGCGUAAGGAACUUGCCUCUUGGACUGGGACAACUGUUGGAAACGACAGCUAAUACCGGAUAUUAUGAGAUUCUCGCAUGGGAAACUUAUGAAAGCCAUAUGCGCCAAGAGAGAGCCUUGCGUUCCAUUAGCUAGUGGUGGGUAAGUAGGCCCACCAAGGCGACGAUGGAUAGCCGGCCUGAGAGGGUGAACGGCCACAAGGGGACUGAGACACGGCCCUUACUCCUACGGGAGGCAGCGAGUGGGGAAGUAUUGGACGAAUGGGCCACAAGCCUGAUCCAGCAAAUUCUGUGUGCACGAUGAAGGUCUUCGGAUCGUAAAGUGCUUUCAGUUGGG